Molecule: ribosomal RNA, 448 nt
Filed under: uncultured bacterium
Lineage: Bacteria
Description: bacterial SSU rRNA
Rfam family: Bacterial small subunit ribosomal RNA
Source: RNAcentral
UCCAGACUCCUACGGGAGGCAGCAGUGGGGGAUAUUGCACAAUGGGGGAAACCCUGAUGCAGCGACGCCGCGUGGGCGAAGAAGUAUUUCGGUAUGUAAAGCCCUAUCAGCAGGGAAGAAGAAAUGACGGUACCUGAGUAAGAAGCCCCGGCUAACUACGUGCCAGCAGCCGCGGUAAUACGUAGGGGGCAAGCGUUAUCCGGAUUCACUGGGUGUAAAGGGAGCGUAGACGGCGACGCAAGUCUGGAGUGAAAGCCCGGGGCCCAACCCCGGGACUGCUCUGGAAACUGCGUCGCUGGAGUACGGGAGGGGCAGGCGGAAUUCCUGGUGUAGCGGUGAAAUGCGUAGAUAUCAGGAGGAACACCGGCGGCGAAGGCGGCCUGCUGGACCGUGACUGACGUUGAGGCUCGAGAGCGUGGGGAGCAAACAGGAUUAGAUACCCUAGUAC